UAGCUACAGGCUUAACACAUGCAAGUCAAGGGGAAACGACAUCGAAAGCUUGCUUUUGAUGGGCGUCGACCGGCGCACGGGUGAGUAACGCGUAUCCAACCUGCCCAUCACUUGGGGAUAACCUUGCGAAAGUAAGACUAAUACCCAAUGACGUCUCUAGAAGACAUCUGAAAGGGAUUAAAGAUUUAUCGGUGAUGGAUGGGGAUGCGUCUGAUUAGCUUGUUGGCGGGGUAACGGCCCACCAAGGCGACGAUCAGUAGGGGUUCUGAGAGGAAGGUCCCCCACAUUGGAACUGAGACACGGUCCAAACUCCUACGGGAGGCAGCAGUGAGGAAUAUUGGUCAAUGGGCGAGAGCCUGAACCAGCCAAGUAGCGUGCAGGAUGACGGCCCUAUGGGUUGUAAACUGCUUUUAUAAGGGAAUAAAGUGAGUCUCGUGAGACUUUUUGCAUGUACCUUAUGAAUAAGGACCGGCUAAUUCCGUGCCAGCAGCCGCGGUAAUACGGAAGGUCCGGGCGUUAUCCGGAUUUAUUGGGUUUAAAGGGAGCGUAGGCCGGAGAUUAAGCGUGUUGUGAAAUGUAGACGCUCAACGUCUGCACUGCAGCGCGAACUGGUUUCCUUGAGUACGCACAAAGUGGGCGGAAUUCGUGGUGUAGCGGUGAAAUGCUUAGAUAUCACGAAGAACUCCGAUUGCGAAGGCAGCUCACUGGAGCGCAACUGACGCUGAAGCUCGAAAGUGCGGGUAUCGAACAGGAUUAGAUACCCUGGUAGUCCGCACGGUAAACGAUGGAUGCCCGCUGUUGGUCUGAAUAGGUCAGCGGCCAAGCGAAAGCAUUAAGCAUCCCACCUGGGGAGUACGCCGGCAACGGUGAAACUCAAAGGAAUUGACGGGGGCCCGCACAAGCGGAGGAACAUGUGGUUUAAUUCGAUGAUACGCGAGGAACCUUACCCGGGCUUGAAUUGCAGAGGAAGGAUUUGGAGACAAUGACGCCCUUCGGGGCCUCUGUGAAGGUGCUGCAUGAUUGUCGUCAGCUCGUGCCGUGAGGUGUCGGCUUAAGUGCCAUAACGAGCGCAACCCCUCUCCUUAGUUGCCAUCAGGUCAAGCUGGGCACUCUGGGGACACUGCCACCGUAAG
RNAcentral lists this ribosomal RNA (1133 nucleotides) under uncultured bacterium. Its description in RNAcentral is "bacterial SSU rRNA". It matches the Rfam family "Bacterial small subunit ribosomal RNA", at positions 37 to 1162 of the family's 1533-position model. The record is from RNAcentral.